GCUUAAUUAUAAUGAACUAACAGAUAAUGUAUCAAAUGUGUUACAUGCUUUAUUGUAUGUAUAAAAAUAAUAAAUAGUAUGCUUUUAUUUAAUGUAAUUACAAAUUAGGAAAGUUCAAAAAUAUUCCCCUCACCCAUGUUAAUAUCAACUCUGAAAUUGCAAAGUGGUUUACACUUAUUUGAGUUAAUAUCAAAAAAUUCUUUUUACUGAAAAGAAAUUAUUUUCAAAUACUUUUUCAUAAUCAAUUCAAUGAAAACUCAAUUCAAACAAAUAUAUCAUUAAAAUAAUAAUAAUCUUUAAUUUCAUAUAGUGUGUAAUAACACACAGAUUUAGUAUAAAUUUUAGUAUUAAUGAUAGAGGCUCUAAAGAGCCUGUGGUCGCUCACCUUGGUCUAUGUGCAUAUUAAACAAAGGACACAAAUGGAUUCAUGACAAAAUUGUAUUUUGGUGAUGGUGAUGUGUUUGAAGUUCUUACUUUACUGAACGAUUUUGCUUCUUACAAUUAUAUCUAUAAUGAACUUUGCCCAUUAGUAAGAGA
This 537-nucleotide long non-coding RNA is filed under the name Mytilus galloprovincialis (Mediterranean mussel). The record is from RNAcentral. Lineage: Eukaryota; Metazoa; Mollusca; Bivalvia; Mytilida; Mytilidae.